This 208-nucleotide ribosomal RNA is filed under the name uncultured bacterium. RNAcentral describes it as "partial 16S ribosomal RNA". It matches the Rfam family "Bacterial small subunit ribosomal RNA", at positions 568 to 774 of the family's 1533-position model. The record is from RNAcentral.
CAUGUAGGCGGCUCUGUAAGCCUGGCGUGAAAGUCCACAGCUCAACUGUGGGAUUGCGCUGGGAACUGCGGGGCUUGAGUCACGGAGGGGGGAGCUGGAAUUCCAGGUGUAGGGGUGAAAUCUGUAGAGAUCUGGAAGAACACCAGUGGCGAAGGCGAGCUUCUAGCCGAUGACUGACGCUGAGGUGCGAAAGCGUGGGGAGCAAACA